CCUACGGGUGGCAGCAGUGGGGAAUAUUGCACAAUGGGGGAAACCCUGAUGCAGCGACGCCGCGUGAGCGAUGAAGUUUUUCGGUAUGUAAAGCUCUAUCAGCAGGGAAGAAAAUGACGGUACCUGACUCAGAAGCCACGGCUAACUACGUGCCAGCAGCCGCUGGAAUACGUCGGGGGCCAGCGUUAUCCGGAUUUACUGGGUGUAAAGGGGGCGUAGACGGGGGUGCAGGUCCGAGGUGAAAGGCCGGGGCGCAACCCCGGGACUGCAUUUGGAACUGUGCGGCUAGAGUGUCGGAGAGGCAGGCGGAAUGCCGAGUGUAGCGGUGAAAUGCGUAGAUAUUAGGAGGAACACCAGUGGCGAAGGCGGCCUGCUGGACGAUGACUGACGUUGAGGCUCGAAAGCGUGGGGAGCAAACAGGAUUAGAUACCCGAGUAGUC
Molecule: ribosomal RNA, 440 nt
Filed under: uncultured bacterium
Lineage: Bacteria
Description: partial 16S ribosomal RNA
Rfam family: Bacterial small subunit ribosomal RNA
Source: RNAcentral